Molecule: ribosomal RNA, 490 nt
Filed under: uncultured bacterium
Lineage: Bacteria
Description: partial 16S ribosomal RNA
Rfam family: Bacterial small subunit ribosomal RNA
Source: RNAcentral
AUUGAACGCUGGCGGCAGGCCUAACACAUGCAAGUCGAACGGUAACAGGAAACAGCUUGCUGUUUCGCUGACGAGUGGCGGACGGGUGAGUAAUGUCUGGGAAACUGCCUGAUGGAGGGGGAUAACUACUGGAAACGGUAGCUAAUACCGCAUAACGUCGCAAGCCCAAAGAGGGGGACCUUCGGGCCUCUUGCCAUCGGAUGUGCCCAGAUGGGAUUAGCUAGUAGGUGGGGUAACGGCUCACCUAGGCGACGAUCCCUAGCUGGUCUGAGAGGAUGACCGGCCACACUGGAACUGAGACACGGUCCAGACUCCUACGGGAGGCAGCAGUGGGGAAUAUUGCACAAUGGGCGCAAGCCUGAUGCAGCCAUGCCGCGUGUAUGAAGAAGGCCUUCGGGUUGUAAAGUACUUUCAGCGGGGAGGAAGGGAGUAAAGUUAAUACCUGUGCUCAUUGACGUUACCCGCAGAAGAAGCACCGGCUAACUCCGUG